CGGACGGGUGAGUAACGCGUGGGUAACCUGCCUCACACAGGGGGAUAACAGUUGGAAACGGCUGCUAAUACCGCAUAAGCGCACAGUACCGCAUGGUACAGUGUGAAAAACUCCGGUGGUGUGAGAUGGACCCGCGUCUGAUUAGCUAGUUGGCAGGGUAACGGCCUACCAAGGCGACGAUCAGUAGCCGGCCUGAGAGGGUGAACGGCCACAUUGGGACUGAGACACGGCCCAA
This 235-nucleotide ribosomal RNA is filed under the name uncultured bacterium. RNAcentral describes it as "partial 16S ribosomal RNA". It matches the Rfam family "Bacterial small subunit ribosomal RNA", at positions 99 to 334 of the family's 1533-position model. The record is from RNAcentral.